This 253-nucleotide ribosomal RNA is filed under the name uncultured bacterium. Its description in RNAcentral is "partial 16S ribosomal RNA". It matches the Rfam family "Bacterial small subunit ribosomal RNA", at positions 524 to 776 of the family's 1533-position model. The record is from RNAcentral.
UACGGAGGGUGCAAGCGUUAUCCGGAUUCACUGGGUUUAAAGGGAGCGCAGGCGGGCUUGUAAGUCUGUGGUGAAAUCUCCGAGCUUAACUCGGAAACUGCCAUGGAUACUAUAGGUCUUGAAUGUUGUGGAGGUAAGCGGAAUAUGUCAUGUAGCGGUGAAAUGCAUAGAUAUGACAUAGAACACCUAUUGCGAAGGCAGCUUACUACGCAAAUAUUGACGCUGAGGCUCGAAAGCGUGGGGAUCAAACAGG